GGCGUUAUAGCAAAGUGGUUAUGCGAGGUACUGUUAAUACUUUAAACAGAGGUUCGAAUCCUCUUAAUGCCU
RNAcentral lists this transfer RNA (72 nucleotides) under Ramaria rubella. RNAcentral's name for it is "tRNA-Asn". It matches the Rfam family "tRNA". From Rfam's summary of the family: Transfer RNA (tRNA) molecules are approximately 80 nucleotides in length. Their secondary structure includes four short double-helical elements and three loops (D, anti-codon, and T loops). Further hydrogen bonds mediate the characteristic L-shaped molecular structure. tRNAs have two regions of fundamental functional importance: the anti-codon, which is responsible for specific mRNA codon recognition, and the 3' end, to which the tRNAs corresponding amino acid is attached (by aminoacyl-tRNA synthetases). tRNAs cope with the degeneracy of the genetic code in two manners: having more than one tRNA (with a specific anti-codon) for a particular amino acid; and 'wobble' base-pairing, i.e. permitting non-standard base-pairing at the 3rd anti-codon position. The record is from RNAcentral. Lineage: Eukaryota; Fungi; Basidiomycota; Agaricomycetes; Gomphales; Gomphaceae.